This is a ribosomal RNA of Cercocebus atys (sooty mangabey), 128 nucleotides long. NCBI's taxonomy places the organism in Eukaryota, Metazoa, Chordata, Mammalia, Primates, Cercopithecidae. The record is from Ensembl.
GUCUAUGGCCAUACCACCCUGAAUGCGCCCGAUCUCGUAAGCUAAGCAGGGUCGGGCCUGGUUAGUACUUGGAUGGGAAGAAUAUGGAAAAUAUACCUGCCCGCAGGUGGAGCUGGACUCUCUUAACA